This 465-nucleotide ribosomal RNA is filed under the name Vreelandella stevensii. Its description in RNAcentral is "partial 16S ribosomal RNA". It matches the Rfam family "Bacterial small subunit ribosomal RNA", at positions 338 to 795 of the family's 1533-position model. Lineage: Bacteria; Pseudomonadati; Pseudomonadota; Gammaproteobacteria; Oceanospirillales; Halomonadaceae. The record is from RNAcentral.
CCUACGGGCGGCAGCAGUGGGGAAUAUUGGACAAUGGGGGGAACCCUGAUCCAGCCAUGCCGCGUGUGUGAAGAAGGCCCUCGGGUUGUAAAGCACUUUCAGUGAGGAAGAACGCCUGGUGGUUAAUACCCAUCAGGAAAGACAUCACUCACAGAAGAAGCACCGGCUAACUCCGUGCCAGCAGCCGCGGUAAUACGGAGGGUGCGAGCGUUAAUCGGAAUUACUGGGCGUAAAGCGCGCGUAGGUGGCUUGAUAAGCCGGUUGUGAAAGCCCCGGGCUCAACCUGGGAACGGCAUCCGGAACUGUCAAGCUAGAGUGCAGGAGAGGAAGGUAGAAUUCCCGGUGUAGCGGUGAAAUGCGUAGAGAUCGGGAGGAAUACCAGUGGCGAAGGCGGCCUUCUGGACUGACACUGACACUGAGGUGCGAAAGCGUGGGUAGCAAACAGGAUUGGAUACCCGGGUAGUC